UAAGGUUGGCCAGUUAAUGAUGGGUUGAUA
RNAcentral lists this non-coding RNA (30 nucleotides) under Homo sapiens (human). Lineage: Eukaryota; Metazoa; Chordata; Mammalia; Primates; Hominidae. The record is from RNAcentral.